CGCAGCCUGAUGCAGCCAUGCCGCGUGUGUGAAGAAGGCCUUCGGGUUGUAAAGCACUUUCAGUCAGGAGGAAAGGUUAGUAGUUAAUACCUGCUAGCUGUGACGUUACUGACAGAAGAAGCACCGGCUAACUCCGUGCCAGCAGCCGCGGUAAUACGGAGGGUGCGAGCGUUAAUCGGAAUUACUGGGCGUAAAGCGUACGCAGGCGGUUUGUUAAGCGAGAUGUGAAAGCCCCGGGCUCAACCUGGGAACUGCAUUUCGAACUGGCAAACUAGAGUGUGAUAGAGGGUGGUAGAAUUUCAGGUGUAGCGGUGAAAUGCGUAGAGAUCUGAAGGAAUACCGAUGGCGAAGGCAGCCACCUGGGUCAACACUGACGCUCAUGUACGAAAGCGUGGGGAGCAAACAGGAUUAGAUACCCUGGUAGUCCACGCCGUAAACGAUGUCUACUAGAAGCUCGGAGCCUCGGCUCUGUUUUUCAAAGCUAACGCAUUAAGUAGACCGCCUGGGGAGUACGGCCGCAAGGUUAAAACUCAAAUG
RNAcentral lists this ribosomal RNA (537 nucleotides) under Pseudoalteromonas sp. RNAcentral's name for it is "bacterial SSU rRNA". It matches the Rfam family "Bacterial small subunit ribosomal RNA", at positions 376 to 907 of the family's 1533-position model. The record is from RNAcentral. Lineage: Bacteria; Pseudomonadati; Pseudomonadota; Gammaproteobacteria; Alteromonadales; Pseudoalteromonadaceae.